RNAcentral lists this unclassified non-coding RNA (256 nucleotides) under Hevea brasiliensis (rubber tree). The record is from RNAcentral. Lineage: Eukaryota; Viridiplantae; Streptophyta; Magnoliopsida; Malpighiales; Euphorbiaceae.
GGGCCAUUGGAAGAACAAGAUAUAGGGGAAGGAACAUGGAAUUGAUGGAUAUUUCCUUUUCUAUUCUAUGCUUUGUUGAAGCGAGGCUUGGACAGCAAGAGAGAAGCAAAAGAAUCGAAAACAAGGUGUUUCAGUAGGGGCAGUAUACAGAAUAGUACAUGCCCUGGGCAUGUAUCAGAGCCAAAUCACUUACCCUUGACAUGUGAUUUUCUACCAGUUGUGUAAAGCUACAUUUUUAGAGUUAAUUUUGAAGUCC